RNAcentral lists this non-coding RNA (148 nucleotides) under Gorilla gorilla gorilla (western lowland gorilla). The record is from Rfam by way of RNAcentral. Lineage: Eukaryota; Metazoa; Chordata; Mammalia; Primates; Hominidae.
GCUGGGUGUGGUGGCGUGCGCCUGUAAUCCCAGCUACUUAGGAGGCUGAGGCAGGAGAAUCGCUUGAACCCAGGAGGCAGAGGUUGCAGUGAGCUGAGAUUGCGCCACUGCACUCCAGCCUGGGCAACAGAGCAAGACUCCGUCUCAA